RNAcentral lists this unclassified non-coding RNA (224 nucleotides) under uncultured Chlamydia sp. Its description in RNAcentral is "16S-23S ribosomal RNA intergenic spacer". Lineage: Bacteria; Pseudomonadati; Chlamydiota; Chlamydiia; Chlamydiales; Chlamydiaceae. The record is from RNAcentral.
AAGGAUAAGGAUAACUGUUUUAGGACAGUUUGACUAGGUUGGGCAAGCAUCUUUAAAAACUUGUAUUCUAUUUCUUUUGCAUUGUUAAGCGUUUGUUUCCAAAACAUUCAGUUUACGAUCAAGUAUGUUAUGUAAAUAAUAUGGUAACAAGUAAAUUCACAUAUAAUAAUAGACGUUUAAGAAUAUCUGUCUUUGGUGAAGUUAACUUGCAUGGAUCAAUAAUU